CCAGCCUUCUCAAACUUUAUUGUACACAGGUAUCAGCGGGGGGCCUUGCUAAAAUGCAGAUUCUAAUUCAGUAGGUCUGGGAUGGAUCCUGAAAGACUGCAUUUCUAACAAGCUUUCAGGUGAGGCCGCUAACAAGCUCUCAGGUGACGCUGAUGGUGCAGCGAAGUUCUGGCUUUCAGCGAUUUCCCCUGGUUCCCAACCGUUUUCCCCUGAUUUGGGACAGGAAUAAGAAUGAAGUAGAGCCGAAAAGUGGCUUCAUUCUAUGGCUUUCCGAGGCGGUGGAGGAGGAAAAAAAGAAAAGAAAAGAAAAAUGAGAAACAACAAAAGAAAAAUCAGGGCAGCUUUCUUGUGACAUCCCAUGUCCUGAGUCCCUCGCAGCUACGCCCCCGGCGUCUGAAGAAUGACUGAUGUGACAGGUGCCCCGGUUCGAGGUGAGCUCCGGAGAAGGUGUGGGGGAGUUUGGAAACAGACAGACAUAGAGGGAAGACAAAGACAGAAAUAUGGUCAUCUAUAAGCCAAGGAGAAGAGGCCUGAAACAGAUCCUUCCCUCCCACCCCUUGAAAGGAACCAACACUGCCAAGACCUUGAUAUUGGACAUCAAGCCUUCAGAACUGUGAGCCAGUACCUUUCUAUUGGUUAGGCCACUCAGAUUGUAGCACUGUUUUACACCAGCCCUAGCAAACUAAUACACAACUAGUGCUAAGUAUUGAAGCUUGGUUAUGAAAUCUUGAAGUUCAAUACAGGAAGUGCAAUCAUCCUAGAGAAAACAGAAAAAUUCAGUCCUAACAACUGUUGCAAUUUCCAUUAGAGAACAAAAGCUUUUAUACAUUUUUAAGCAUAUAUUUCAUGGUUUUAGUUUCCUUUCUGCUAUAAUACCUCAUAGGAAUUUAAAUGAUGACUUUUCUAUAUCCCUAAGUUCUAACUCCAUAGCUUAACUUUUCAGGAUCUUUGACAUGAUCUUAGUCUAACUUUUCAUGCUUAUAUCUCACUGUUGUUUUUCAUAAAUUACAUGACCAAGUCAAAUUGGGACACUAGUCCCAAAAUAGGCCUGGGUAUUCCAAUCUUUGUUCUCUUCAUCUCUCUAUUUAGAAUGGCCUUUCCAUUCUUCAUCAUCAUACUUUGAAAAAUCCAAAGUUAAAGUCUUCCUUCAGUGCCCAGUGAAAAAACCUUCACUUCUAAGAAUCUAAAUGGUUCUGAAAUACCAUUUUAUAUUUUUGCUUCAUUGAUUUUUAUUUUACUUCUCUGGCUUUAUGUAAUAUGCUCUUAUCGACUUUAAGUAAAUUAGGGCAAGAAGCAACUAGUACAGGUAAGUGUUAUUUUGGUUUAUUCUUCCAAAAGUGGAGACUGAGAUAAGAGCUUUGGGUGCAGGUCAUUUGUUUGGAGAAGUAGUCUCAGGGCUCAAGAGUAAGGAGACUGAGAAGAAUGAAACAAAGAAGAAAGAAAAGCAAAUCUCAGAGUGAGUAAGCCUCAGUCCCACCAGGAACUCAUCGAGGAAUGGUGUAGAACAUAAUUAUGUUUACCCAAGAAUAAAAGACAGCAAUAUUUAUCUAAUAGGUCCCAUCCCUUAAGUGGUCAAAAAAUCUCCUCAAGGUAUAUCUCUGGCACUUCCAGGUUUAUGCAUCUAUCAGAAUGGUUUAACAGGCUUCUACAAAUAUCAUGUGCAGUGCUACUAAUGAAGCCACAGGGCAUAAACUGAGAGAUACAUGGUGCAGCUAUGACAAGAUGCUCUCUGACUACACCUGCCCAGAGCUAGCAGUUAGACUAAAAGGAUAGACAGGGAGACUUAUUCAUGAAUAUUAAAAAAAUCUGAUAAAAUUGUGCUAGAAAACAUAUCUAACAUGGCCCAUUCCUUGCAAUGUUCUAAUCUGUUCAUGCCCUAGUUUAAUAGUUCCUAAAGACAAGAAUACUAUGUAUAGAAACAGUACAUGUGGACUGUAUUCCUCCUUCUGAUCAAAGGAGUAAAGUCACCCGUGCAUGCUAGGUUAGGCAGCUAGAAUCUCAGCAAGAUAUCCAGCCACAAAAAAAAAAAAAAAAAAAAACAGACUCAGAAUUUCCAUU
Panthera uncia (snow leopard) is the source of this 2058-nucleotide long non-coding RNA. RefSeq lists it as uncharacterized. Lineage: Eukaryota; Metazoa; Chordata; Mammalia; Carnivora; Felidae. The record is from RefSeq and is a predicted model, not a curated record. The transcript is spliced from 2 exons.